UUCUUCCUUCGGCUUCCACCCAGCCUUGCCGUUUCACAGCCCUCACAGAGGGCACCUGGACAGCAGAGGGAGCCCAUCUCCCCAGGAGUUGGAGGGGCUGGCUUACCCAGCAAGCUCCACGCCACGAUGGGGCCCCCGUGCCUCGGCCUCCUGCCCAGACCCUGGGCGGUCCCCACGGUGCUCAGCCUGCCCCUGGCUGCUCCCCCCCGGGGCCGGGCCCAGGCCUGGAGCCCAGACGGUGGGGACGGCUCAGGACUCACGGGAGCCUGGUGGAGUGGAGGACUCUAAAUCUGGAACAAGAACCACCUGGGCUCGAAGUCACGACUUUUAUUUUGGAAAACAAGCAAAAGAAAAUGCAGCCUGGAAUCUUCAAACGAGGAGAAAAACCCCAUUCAGUGUGACCUCAGAAAAAGCUUGCCACCCCUGGUGUGGAUAAAGAUGUGCUUGGUAAAUAGAAUGGAAGCAAAGGGGAGAAAAGUGGAAAAAGAGGAAGGUUUUCAAGAAGAGCAAGGACAAAAGAAAGCUGAGCCAUGAAGAUGAAGCCAAUGCUCUAGGAAUGACAGUGCUCCAAAACCCUGGGUUCUGAUGGCCUCAUGGAACAAAACUGCCUACCUUCCUGACCACUUGCCACCUUUGCCUUUUAAUGAGAGAGAAUGGAAACUUUUAUCUUGUUUAAGCCACUGUUUCUCUGUCUCUCAAGGCAGCUGAGACAUUAUCCUAAUUAACGUGGUAGCCAUUUAAAUCUAGAGGGUGAGGAGGAGGAAGACGUCCAGAGGGAAGGGUAGCUGGGCAGAUCUGUAUUUCAGAAAGAUUGCUGUGGUGGAGAGCAGAUUUGGAGGGUGGCACUAACUGAUGACAUGGAGGCCAGUGUAGUGGUCCAAGGGGGAGAAAAUGGCAUUUGGAACUAGGGUAGUGGUAGAUGGGACAGAAGAAGAUACGUGGAUGGACUAGAAAUACGUUUAGGAGUUAGAACCCAUGGGAUAUGAUGACUAUGAUUGACUAUGAUUGACUAUGGGGUGAGGGGAAAGAAAGAUUCAAGCUGCCUUAUGCCAUUGUCUAGAAGAUGGCACCAUUUAUUGAGUUUGGGACCAAAGGGGUGGGACAGGUUUGAAGGGGAAGAAAAUGAAGUCAAGUUGGGACACACUGAGUUUGAGAUGUGACAUCCAAGAGGGCAUGUCCCCUAGGCUUUAGGCUACAGGGGCCCAAAGCUAAGCAGAGAAAGUGGAACUAGAGGGAAAGAUGGCAGAAGAUAAAUGGCAGUGGAAUUCAAGAGUACUGAUGGAAUCGCCCAAGAAGGGGACAAGGUCUAGAGCACAGCCUCAAGAGAGCAACAUUUAUGCAAAAGAAACAUCUGAGAGAGAGACUGAGAAGGAGUGGCCAGAGACGUAGGGGGAAGAUGGAAUAGGAAAAGGUGGAUUUUGCAAGGAGGAGGUGGGUUAGAAAUAGCCUGCUGCUGAGAGGCUAAAGGAGAAAGCUUCUGGAAGUGUCCAGUAGAUUUGGUAACAAAGGAGUUGACGACCUUGACAAGGGUAAUUUUAGGGGAGUGGUCAGGGCAGAAACCAACUGGGAGUGCUUUGAAAGUGAGUGGGGUAAGAUAGAGAAGACAGAGUGAAGACAACCCCUUCAAGAAGUUGGUUAUAAACAGAAAGCAAGGAAUUAGGUGUCUGUUGGCAGAUGGCAUUCGAUUCCAGGUGAAACUGUAUUUGUAAUUUUUUCUUCCCUGUUUCUAACUCUCACAAGCCCAUGAAUUAGUGGGUAGACAUCAAGUAUGUAACAUUUUCCUGAAAAGACCUGGAAAUUGCUUAUUUGAAUGUUCUAGCCGGAUAUAACAUCGUAGAGAUCUUUGAAUCUGCCAACCGGACCAUAGCAUGUGUAACUGACUCUCUCCGUGCUUUCAUUCAACCAAGUGGUUUACUGAGGACCUGCUCUGUACUCAGCACCGUGCUAAAUGCUGCAAGGGAGCCAGGAUACAGGAGGACGUUUUGUAACAAUUUUGGUCUGAUGAAAUUAAAAAAGGGGAACAUCCAGGCUCCAACAAAUGCUGAAGUGGUUCCAUCGAUGUCGCUGAAAGAUCAAAACCGUCUUGUUCCUCUUUUCUUAGUACACGGAACUAUUUCAAUGGAGCUUUAAAGAGGAGAGAGAUUUGCUGAGCGAGAAUAAUUAUCAGGGAUCAAGCACAUCACCUGAGAGGGGGCGCACAGGAGAGAAGUGUGGGGGUUUGAAGAAGGAGAAGACGGUGUGAAGGAGUCACCGAGAAACUGGGGAAGAAAACAUACCAGAGAGGUGUAGCUGGCCUGGCAGAUCUCAGUGCCUGCCUAAGACUUGUGUGCAUGAAUCUCAAAUGAGACCACUCCUGGUGCUGGGAACUCUGUUUCCUGCAGCCAUGUUCAAGUGCUUGGGUGCCAGCGUGGAACAGGCGGCUGGAAUACCAUCAGUGAGGUCACCUGGUCCUGCAGCAGCCCUACAAGGGGUGAGGUAAGCUGCCUGGAGACACAGAGUGUCAGUGGUGGUGCUGAGCCGGGGCCCUCUGACUCUACAAGCAGAGUCCUUCUGUCCUGCAGAGAUGCUGUCCUGGCACUGAGACAGACGGCAAGCAGAGAGAGGGAAAAGGGACUUCCUUCACUGGGGUGUUUUUGGUUUUUAAUCUGAGAAAAGGCCCUCUUGACUUCUAGGAGGAAGCAAAACCAAGAGAAACAGGUGUAAGCCAAGCUGAUCUCUGGUUCCUUCUAGCCCUGAUUGUCAAAAAUACCAUCUUUAGCUUGCUUCCAUUUGCAGAGGAUCAGUUUGCCAAGCACAGCCUAGUGCAUGAUUUGGGGAUCAUUCAACAUGCUGUGUCAUCUCCCUGUGUUAACUUCCGGGUUGUUGGGAACAGCAGAGAAUUCAAUCUAUCAGGGUAGCAGGCAACUCUGGUACCCGAGUCACAUCCCCUUAGCCUGCCUCUGUUUCAGCCAAAGCCACAGGGGCUGUUCCUUGCAAGUGCACCUUGAGCCACCAGCAUCCCACCUCAAGCGUACCCAUCUCUCUGCCCCAGGGCCUUAUCGUGGGAACUCAGCUAGCACAUGCACCACCCAGAAGUAAGAGAGAGAGGGAGCGGCAGGGUGGGGGGGGGGGGAGAGAGAGUGUGUGUAUGUGAUGCCCAUGCAGCCAACAUUCAACCAAAGGGGGAUGGAACCUUCACCAAAGGCUGCUGGAAUGUCCCAGCCCUCUCACCUUUCCAGACACCUCUAGAAGGUGUGCCAUCUGCUCAGGAGGUCCCAAGGGAAUGGAGCCUCCAAGGCUCACAGGAGCCCCCGUGACAACUCACCUGUACAUUGGCUUUUUCUUACUUCCUGUCUUUCUUGCUCUCCACGCCCUCUCUCUUGUUUUCUGGGAUUGCCUCACAAAUAAACCACCUGUCCCCAA
This 3402-nucleotide long non-coding RNA is filed under the name Equus caballus (horse). RNAcentral describes it as "lncRNA (ENSECAG00000055733.1)". The record is from RNAcentral. Lineage: Eukaryota; Metazoa; Chordata; Mammalia; Perissodactyla; Equidae.